GACGGGGCNANNCUGCAGUCGAGCGGACAGAUAAGGAGCUUGCUCCUUUGACGUUAGCGGCGGACGGGUGAGUAACACGUGGGCAACCUGCCCCUUAGACUGGGAUAACUCCGGGAAACCGGAGCUAAUACCGGAUAAUCCCUUUCUCCACCUGGAGAGAGGGUGAAAGAUGGCUUCGGCUAUCACUAAGGGAUGGGCCCGCGGCGCAUUAUCUAGUUGGUAAGGUAACGGCUUACCAAGGCAAC
RNAcentral lists this ribosomal RNA (245 nucleotides) under Shouchella clausii. Its description in RNAcentral is "Bacillus clausii partial 16S ribosomal RNA". It matches the Rfam family "Bacterial small subunit ribosomal RNA", at positions 60 to 277 of the family's 1533-position model. Lineage: Bacteria; Bacillati; Bacillota; Bacilli; Caryophanales; Bacillaceae. The record is from RNAcentral.